CCAAUUAUUAGUUUGAAUAUUGAUGAAAUGUGAUGAUAAAAGGGGUUAAGGGUUUAAUGAUUUUGAGGUUUAAGAUUUUGAUUUUAAGUUUAGGAAUGGUAAUUAGGUUUAAUAUUUAAUGAUUUUAAGGUUUAAGGGUUGAUUUCGAGGUUAGGGACGAUAAUGUAAGUUUAUAAUUAAUUUUUUAAAUAUUUAAAUAUAUACAGGAUGAAGUAAUUUUAGAGUAAUUAUCUAGGUGGUUUAAUUUUAUUUUUAUAUUAGAUAAAUAUAAGUAUUUGUUUAUAAAAAUUGAAAUCAAAUCAAUAAAAUUGUUGGAAAUGUGUGGCUAAAGUUUUUCUCUCAUGACACAUUUUAGCAGGGCUAACGAGAGGCCGAAGAAAAUUUGUCAAAAUCUUUUCCUUUUCUUAGUUUGAUUUUACAAAUUUUCUCAUUGAAUCUCUUGUUUGUUCUUGGAUUUCAUGGAUUUCUUAGUUGUCUUUCCCUUAUUAUUUUUUUCUUGAUUAUGAUGGCUGAUUCAAUAUUAAAAAUCUCAUAUUUAUGAAAUAGAGUUUCCUUCGUUAUGUAUGCAAUGUUCCAAUUCUUUAGAUUCUGUUAUGAAGGCCAUAUCAAAGGGGGAAAAGGUUGGAGUUGAAACUGUGAAAGGCGAGACCGUGGCUGCAUCUUCUUCAGGUUUUCGAACAGGUAACCUUAGAAAUUAGAAGUCUCUUUUUAUUGUUAAUCAACCUCUUCAAUUUUUUCCAUCUAAUUCCAGAAAUUAGCAAAUAUUUUUACAGGGAAGAAAAGGCAAUGUUGAGAUCAAACUUGUUGGCCCAAGUAUCUAUUUUAUUGCUCCUAAUAGAAAAAAAAAAAAAAAAACUCUAGAUUGGAUUCUUGAAUCAGAACAAUGGCAUAUACAACAUACAGCUAUAAUCCUUUGUAAAUGAAAGCCAGAAAUGUACUCUUUACAAUUUGAUUUGGAAGACGACUGUUAUUUAGAUUAAACUUGGAAACUUAUCUUUUGAUCAUAGGAGUAUGGUGGAAAAUAGGCCUUAUAUUAUCGUCGGGGAUUUCAAAGCAAUGUGCAGUCCCCAAAGAUAGUUUAGAUUUUAAUGACUUUAAAACUUUUACAUCAGCC
Molecule: long non-coding RNA, 1114 nt
Filed under: Gossypium raimondii (Peruvian cotton)
Lineage: Eukaryota; Viridiplantae; Streptophyta; Magnoliopsida; Malvales; Malvaceae
Description: long non-coding RNA (GRAI_LNC006619)
Source: RNAcentral